UUGAACGCUGGCGGUAUGCUUUACACAUGCAAGUCGAACGGGCUAUGGGGCUUGCUCCAUAGUUAGUGGCGAACGGGUGAGUAAUAUAUCGGAACAUAUCCGGAAGUGGGGGAUAACGUAGCGAAAGUUACGCUAAUACCGCAUAUUCUGUGAGCAGGAAAGCAGGGGAUCGCAAGACCUUGCGCUUUAGGAGCGGCCGAUGUCGGAUUAGCUAGUUGGUGAGGUAAAGGCUCACCAAGGCGACGAUCCGUAGCGGGUCUGAGAGGAUGAUCCGCCACACUGGGACUGAGACACGGCCCAGACUCCUACGGGAGGCAGCAGUGGGGAAUUUUGGACAAUGGGCGCAAGCCUGAUCCAGCCAUGCCGCGUGAGUGAAGAAGGCCUUCGGGUUGUAAAGCUCUUUCGGCGGGGAAGAAAUCGCACGGGUUAAUACCUCGUGUGGAUGACGGUACCCGAAUAAGAAGCACCGGCUAACUACGU
This 480-nucleotide ribosomal RNA is filed under the name uncultured bacterium. RNAcentral's name for it is "bacterial SSU rRNA". It matches the Rfam family "Bacterial small subunit ribosomal RNA", at positions 30 to 506 of the family's 1533-position model. The record is from RNAcentral.